RNAcentral lists this ribosomal RNA (820 nucleotides) under uncultured eukaryote. RNAcentral describes it as "SSU rRNA". It matches the Rfam family "Eukaryotic small subunit ribosomal RNA", at positions 636 to 1426 of the family's 1831-position model. The record is from RNAcentral.
GGGUGUUUAACUGGCGUGAUGUGGGACGUCCUACCGGUGGGCUUAGCCUCGCGAGGGGCGGCCCAACUAAUAUCCCGUCGCGGUGCUCUUUACUGAGUGUCGAGUCGGGCCGGUACGUUUACUUUGAACAAAUUAGAGUGCUUAAAGCAGGCUAUCCUCGCCUGAAUACUGCGUGCAUGGAAUAAUGGAAUAGGACCUCGGUUCUAUUUUGUUGGUUUUCGGAACCCCCGAGGUAAUGAUUAAUAGGGACAGAUGGGGGCAUUCGUAUUGCGACGUUAGAGGUGAAAUUCUUGGAUCGUCGCAAGACGGACAGAAGCGAAAGCAUUUGCCAAAAAUGUUUUCAUUAAUCAAGAACGAAAGUUAGAGGUUCGAAGGCGAUCAGAUACCGCCCUAGUUCUAACCAUAAACGAUGCCAGCUAGCGAUCCGCCGAAGUUCCUCCGAUGACUCGGCGGGCAGCUUCCGGGAAACCAAAGCUUUUGGGUUCCGGGGGAAGUAUGGUUGCAAAGCUGAAACUUAAAGGAAUUGACGGAAGGGCACCACCAGGAGUGGAGCCUGCGGCUUAAUUUGACUCAACACGGGAAACCUCACCAGGCCCAGACACCGGAAGGAUUGACAGAUUGAUAGCUCUUUCUUGAUUCGGUGGGUGGUGGUGCAUGGCCGUUCUUAGUUGGUGGAGCGAUUUGUCUGGUUAAUUCCGAUAACGAACGAGACUCUAGCCUGCUAAAUAGGCGUACCUUAUGGUAUCGCGAAGCCCCCCGGCUUCGGCCGGUGGGUUUUUACUACCAACGUACAAACAAAUUUUCUUAGAGGGACAGGCGG